GAUCCUGGCUCAGGAUGAACGCUAGCGACAGGCUUAACACAUGCAAGUCGAGGGGCAGCAUGGGGUAGCAAUACCUUGAUGGCGACCGGCGCACGGGUGAGUAACGCGUAUGCAACCUGCCCGAUACCGGGGUAUAGCCCAUGGAAACGUGGAUUAACACCCCAUAGUACUUUUAUCCUGCAUGGGAUGUGAGUUAAAUGUUCAAGGCAUCGGAUGGGCAUGCGUCCUAUUAG
This 233-nucleotide ribosomal RNA is filed under the name uncultured bacterium. Its description in RNAcentral is "partial 16S ribosomal RNA". It matches the Rfam family "Bacterial small subunit ribosomal RNA", at positions 15 to 244 of the family's 1533-position model. The record is from RNAcentral.